CUGGGGUACGUCACAGCUGUGUACCCAUCUGGCCCUGACUGCUCCCUUAGGCCCUUGAUCCAGGCAUCAAUCUAAUGAUAUGGUAAGAUGCAGAUGCUGACGAUGGGAAUGUAUUCUAUUUCCUAACGGUGGCCUGGACAAUGUACUAUGGGAGCAGAGGAGAGGGAACUACUAAAUCAGCUCUGGCUGGAGGUGAGGCAUGAGUCACAGAGGAGGAGAGGCUAAACAACGUCUCCAGGGAUGGAGAGCA
Molecule: long non-coding RNA, 250 nt
Filed under: Homo sapiens (human)
Lineage: Eukaryota; Metazoa; Chordata; Mammalia; Primates; Hominidae
Description: non-protein coding lnc-BUD31-1:1
Source: RNAcentral